RNAcentral lists this ribosomal RNA (338 nucleotides) under Shigella sp. FC1967. RNAcentral describes it as "bacterial LSU rRNA". It matches the Rfam family "Bacterial large subunit ribosomal RNA", at positions 293 to 640 of the family's 2925-position model. Lineage: Bacteria; Pseudomonadati; Pseudomonadota; Gammaproteobacteria; Enterobacterales; Enterobacteriaceae. The record is from RNAcentral.
CAGCCCAGAGUCUUAAUCAAUAGCAGCAUCAGGAGAACGGUCUGGAAAGUCCGGCAGUAAAGGGUGAUAGCCCCGUAUCCGAAGAUGCUGUUAUUGUGAACUCGACGAGUAGGGCGGGGACACGUGUUAUCCUGUCUGAAUAUGGGGGGGACCAUCCUCCAAGGCUAAAUACUCCUGAUUGACCGAUAGUGAACCAGUACCGUGAGGGAAAGGCGAAAAGAACCCCGGCGAGGGGAGUGAAAAAGAACCUGAAACCGUGUACGUACAAGCAGUAGGAGCCUCUUUAUGGGGUGACUGCGUACCUUUUGUAUAAUGGGUCAGCGACUUAUAUUCUGUAG